GAUGAAGAACGUAGCGAAAUGCGAUAAGUAAUGUGAAUUGCAGAAUUCAGUGAAUCAUCGAAUCUUUGAACGCACAUUGCGCCCGCCAGUAUUCUGGCGGGCAUGCCUGUUCGAGCGUCAUUACAACCCUCAGGCCCCCGGGCCUGGCGUUGGGGAUCGGCGGAGCCCCCCGUGGGCACACGCCGUCCCCCAAAUGCAAUGGCGGUCCCGCCGCAGCUUCCAUCGCGUAGUAGCUAACACCUCGCGACUGGAGAGCGGCGCGGCCACGCCGUAAAACACCCAACUCUUCUGAAGUUGACCUCGAAUCAGGUAGGAAUACCCGCUGAACUUAAGCAUAUCAAUAAGCGGAGGA
Molecule: unclassified non-coding RNA, 352 nt
Filed under: soil metagenome
Description: partial contains 5.8S ribosomal RNA, internal transcribed spacer 2, and large subunit ribosomal RNA
Rfam family: 5.8S ribosomal RNA (bases 1-120)
Source: RNAcentral